This 686-nucleotide ribosomal RNA is filed under the name uncultured bacterium. RNAcentral's name for it is "bacterial SSU rRNA". It matches the Rfam family "Bacterial small subunit ribosomal RNA", at positions 60 to 758 of the family's 1533-position model. The record is from RNAcentral.
AGUCGAACGAUUGAAGCUGGAGCUUGCUCCGGCCGAUUUAGUGGCGGACGGGUGAGUAACGCGUGGGUAACCUGCCUCAUACAGGGGGAUAGCAGUUGGAAACGACUGGUAAAACCGCAUAAGCGCACGGUGUCGCAUGACACAGUGUGAAAACACUCCGGUGGUAUGAGAUGGACCCGCGUCUGAUUAGCUAGUUGGUGAGGUAACGGCCCACCAAGGCGACGAUCAGUAGCCGGCCUGAGAGGGCGAACGGCCACAUUGGGACUGAGACACGGCCCAAACUCCUACGGGAGGCAGCAGUGGGGAAUAUUGCACAAUGGGGGAAACCCUGAUGCAGCGACGCCGCGUGAGUGAUGAAGUAUUUCGGUAUGUAAAGCUCUAUCAGCAGGGAAGAUAAUGACGGUACCUGACUAAGAAGCACCGGCUAAAUACGUGCCAGCAGCCGCGGUAAUACGUAUGGUGCAAGCGUUAUCCGGAUUUACUGGGUGUAAAGGGUGCGUAGGUGGCAAGGCAAGUCUGAAGUGAAAAUCCGGGGCUCAACCCCGGAACUGCUUUGGAAACUGUUUAGCUAGAGUACAGGAGAGGUAAGUGGAAUUCCUAGUGUAGCGGUGAAAUGCGUAGAUAUUAGGAGGAACACCAGUGGCGAAGGCGACUUACUGGACUGCUACUGACACUGAGGCACGAAA